GUCGACCUCAGUCGGGCGAGAUCACCCG
Molecule: ribosomal RNA, 28 nt
Filed under: Meridionale 'variabilis' complex sp. SHE001
Lineage: Eukaryota; Metazoa; Arthropoda; Pycnogonida; Pantopoda; Callipallenidae
Description: partial 28S ribosomal RNA
Source: RNAcentral